RNAcentral lists this ribosomal RNA (253 nucleotides) under uncultured bacterium. RNAcentral describes it as "partial 16S ribosomal RNA". It matches the Rfam family "Bacterial small subunit ribosomal RNA", at positions 524 to 776 of the family's 1533-position model. The record is from RNAcentral.
UACGUAGGGGGCUAGCGUUGUCCGGAUUUAUUGGGCGUAAAGAGCGUGUAGGCGGCCAUGUAGGUCCGGUGUGAAAACUCGAGGCUUAACCUCGAGAUGUCAUCGGAAACCAUUUGGCUAGAGUCCGGAAGAGGAGAGUGGAAUUCCUGGUGUAGCGGUGAAAUGCGCAGAUAUCAGGAGGAACACCGGUGGCGAAGGCGGGUCUCUGGGCAACAACUGACGCUGAGGAGCGAAAGCGUGGGGAGCGAACAGG